UUCACUGUACCCAUAAAUGCUAAAAGCAACCUAUCAGUCAAAGUGAUACUUAGCACCUCUUAUUAAGAGGUUGUACUGUUAUAGUAUACCACUAUAAUCUAGAAAGGAAAAACAUGUGAUUACACAUCAUGAGAAUGAAGGCAUUCACAAUACAUUCAAGACAAUACUCCAUGUUCUGUCAAGAAAGGGAGAUUUUAAACCAUAUAAAACCAUCUCUCCAAGGACUAAGAUAUCACAGCAACACCAGGAUAACCUAACACCUCCAGGUGUUUCUAGUUUUCGUCUUCUUGUAGCCCCAAUACACCUACUUCUGAAAAAAAGGAGUUCCGGAUAUCCCAAGAAGUCACUGUGACACGAGCGGCCCAACCUUGAGUCCACUCUCGGACAUAUGUAAAGACUGAAAUCUGAAAUAAAAUUUGAAGGCAUAUUUACAGGCAUCAACUUCCCCUUCAGCAUUCCCAAUUUAACUUUAGUCCUCCCCACUUUUUACUGGCCUCUUUCUGGAAAGCUGGAUGGCUCUCUCAGGAUCAGGAUAACUCCUCAAGUUACACUCUGUAUGGAAGCUCUGGCAGUUACUCACUGGUUUUAUACGAAAGUUUUAUUAAGUCCGUGCCAAAGAGCUUCUCGUCAUUGGAUCAGCUAAAAAUAGAGAGACACAGUGAGAGCAGGAUCACAAGCAGGGGGAGAGGGAGAGAGAGAAACAGGCUUCCCGCGGAGCGGGCAGCCUGAUGCGGGGCUCGAUCCCAGGACCCUGGGAUCAUGACCUGAGCCGAAGGCAGACGCUUAACGACUGAGCCACCCAGGCGUCCCUGUAAUGGUAAUUUUAAAUAUCACUUUUUAAUUAUAUAUUUAUACUAUA
Long non-coding RNA from Mirounga angustirostris (Northern elephant seal), 859 nucleotides. RefSeq lists it as uncharacterized. Lineage: Eukaryota; Metazoa; Chordata; Mammalia; Carnivora; Phocidae. The record is from RefSeq and is a predicted model, not a curated record. The transcript is spliced from 3 exons.